UAGCUUUAAGAAAAUUAUUUAAAGUUUUACCUGCCCGGUGGAAUUCUUAACGGCCGCAGUACUUUGACUGUGCUAAGGUAGCAUAAUAAAUUGGCUUUUAAUUAAAGUCGGGUAUGAAAGGGGCUUCGGAAAGUAACUGUCUCAAAUAUAUAUAAUUUUAAUUUAAUUAAUGGGUGAAAAUUCCCAUAGAAAUUUUUAUUAGACGAGAAGACCCUAAGAGUUAUAAUUAAAAUGAAUUUAUUUCAUAUAUCAUUUUUGUUGGGGCAACAUUGACUGGAUAAAACCGUCAUUAGUAAAAAUUUUUUACAUAGCCAGUAUAUUUAAUAAGAAAUAAACUACCUUAGGGAUAACAGCAUAAUUAAUUUUUAGAUUGUGACCUCGAUGUUGGAUUAAGGACUUUAUUUACUAGCCGUAAAUUGAGAUAGUUCUGUUCGAACUGUUAUACCUU
Molecule: ribosomal RNA, 448 nt
Filed under: Vertigo ovata
Lineage: Eukaryota; Metazoa; Mollusca; Gastropoda; Stylommatophora; Vertiginidae
Description: partial 16S ribosomal RNA
Rfam family: Archaeal large subunit ribosomal RNA (bases 1-187)
Source: RNAcentral